This 63-nucleotide transfer RNA is filed under the name Leptidea morsei. RNAcentral's name for it is "tRNA-Thr". The record is from RNAcentral. Lineage: Eukaryota; Metazoa; Arthropoda; Insecta; Lepidoptera; Pieridae.
GUUUUUAUAGUUUAUUUAAAACAUUGGUCUUGUAAAUCAAAAAUAAUAUUUUAUUUAAAAACU